This is a long non-coding RNA of Scylla paramamosain (green mud crab), 1700 nucleotides long. RefSeq lists it as uncharacterized. The transcript is spliced from 3 exons. NCBI's taxonomy places the organism in Eukaryota, Metazoa, Arthropoda, Malacostraca, Decapoda, Portunidae. The record is from RefSeq and is a predicted model, not a curated record.
GAUUCUUCGCUGCUUUCAUCUGGAGGUAUUUGGUGUAUCGCCACACGGGCUCCGUGCUUCUGGUCGAGUGGACGUAAACACAGGAAGACCGUGUCAGAAAUUAAUUAGUGAAUUAUAUGAAUGAGCCAGCGGUGAAAUUCUUUAACUUUUAAAUUAGCAACGAGAUAUUAUUCAACUACAUUGAUAUGAUGGACAACACAAAAUGAAAAUGAGAAGCAAAUAGUUAUACAGUGAAGCAACUCAAAGGAUAAGGAAUGGUACACGAGAAUGCAAUAAUGACUUGGAGCAGACGGACAGCCAGCAGUGAUGAGUGGAGUGUUGCGCAGUGUGGCAGUGUGAUCAUGGGCGGAUAUGAUGAUAAUAUUGAUGAUGCGGCAAUGAGAUAUUUUCAAAAGAGCAGCGGGAUAGUGAUCUAUAGAACAGUGAAAGAAACAACUGCGAAGAAGUAAUAAGUUAUGGACGUGCUGAGGAAACAAGGGAGUCUCACAAACCUGCUUCGGAGUUCAGCCAGUUUCAGGAAGCCAACGAAAAAAAAACUGUGCCCUAGUAUUUGUUUAUGAAUGAGCUCUGUCUAUGUAAAACAAGAAUACACUUGCGAAAUAAACGUCAUGAAUGUCUUUGAAUGAUGCGUCAUAACUACGAACAUGCUAUUUACCGUAUUGAAAUGUACUCAGCCUAAAAUACGCAAAAUAAGAAAUAAAAAUAUCUCGUUAAGUCUUCAUGUGUAAUGAUUGUAUAGAAAGAAGGGAUUGGGUUAUUUAUAAACGACAGUGGUAUUGAAUUAUUGUACACUAAAUUACGUCAGAAAAAAAAAAAAAACACAAGGCAAACCUGAACAGGUGUCACCUAACAAGUCCACCCCAUCUAGUUUCCUUACUUAUAUCAGAAAUAACGGGAAGUUGAAAAGUUAAUCACUCUUUACGAAGUUCAUUGGAAUUAUUUGGUUCCUGAAAGAGCUUAUCCAGCAGAUGUCGUUUAGAAAUACAGACUAGAGCUAUCAUCCCAUCAGUGGACAGGAUAUAAACUUGGGGGAAGGACUACCAAUGAAUAACUGAAAAGAAUAAGUGUUAGAACAAAGCCUUGACAGUUUUAAGAGAAGCGAUCAUCCUUCACGCCAGAACAGACCGGCCCGGAGAGAAACUAGAGAUGAACGUACACAAAGAGAACAGAAUCCGAAUGAGGGGAGUUUGGAAACUAAAAGAUUUAUGAGGAACUUUAUCGGAAGCCUUGGAAAUGUUUAUGACGAUAGCAAAGAUUUUAGUAAAUAUGAGUGCAUGAUGCUGCUUUUUCACAAUAUGCACAUUGUGAACAAAGGGGAUACUAGCUUAUCAAACGCACAGGUAGAGUUGCAUAUUAUGAAGGGGCUUUGCAAAUACAACCAUAGGGGCUUUACUUUUUAUCAAGCUGUGUACAUUAAUACUCCAUUAGUGCAAAGGCUCCCCAGGCAUCGAGAUGCAACAUUUGCUGUAGUAUGUUACAUCCUUCCUGACACAUCCAUGGAAUUACGUUGCCUUGACAUUUUGCGAGUAAUGCAUCAUAUUUCAUGGAAACGUUCAAUCUCAAAAUAUGAAAAAAAGAUACAACGUCGUGUAACAGAAGUAUAAAUUUUUGCUAGAUUCUUUGUAAAGAGACUAUACGUAAUUGUGAUUUAUUUUUUUUCCUUACUUUGUACACCCUUCAGAUUAUUAUAUAUAAGCAGU